Long non-coding RNA from Lathyrus oleraceus (garden pea), 827 nucleotides. RefSeq lists it as uncharacterized. The record is from RefSeq and is a predicted model, not a curated record. The transcript is spliced from 5 exons. Lineage: Eukaryota; Viridiplantae; Streptophyta; Magnoliopsida; Fabales; Fabaceae.
GUUCUCUCUCACUUUACUUCACAAAAAUCGCUCUCCCUAUCUCACGAUUUUUUCUCUCUCGCUCUCAAUCGCUAUCCUUCCAUCUCGCUCACACUAAACCCCUCUCUCAAUCGCUGCUCUCUCACUUCGUUCCCAAUCUCCCACAUCUCACUCAAUCAUGUAAGAAAACAAUGGCCGAAACAAAAAACUCACCUUCGGCGGUGAUAACGGCAACGAUGAAGCUCAAACCUUACUCCUUCGCCUCUUCAAAACAGGGUUUCAAUUGGUAUCGUGGAGUUCAAAAGGAGCAUCCUGCAAAAUCUCUUUUUUGAUGCUCAGAAUUUGGUCCAUUUCGUUUGAUACUUGGAUCUGGAACAGUGAAGAUUUCAUGAGUAACUUUGGUUCAGCCAGGCAAGCCAACGAUGAUGAAGCCAGUUCUUCCGCCUCCUUGUAGACUAUCGCCAGCCGCUUAGCAUAAUUGUUGGCCACAUGCUGCUUUUCUGUGCCAGUGACUGCAUCAUGGUGUUGAGCAAUUGCUAAAACAUCCACUAAUGGAUUUGCAUAUGGCCCUGAGUUCUGUGGAUCUUUUUUGAUCGGUUCCGUUAUAUCCAAAAUAGCAAAGAAAAUGUAAGCUUCAAAUUUCCUUGACCAAUAGAAGACUUUUUACGAAUUUGAUGCGCAUAUACAGAUGAUCUGGUGGAACCUGUUUUUGGCAGUCGAGACAGUUUUGACUCAAGGACUAGCAUCUCAAAAAUCGUUGUCUGCCGCAAUUCGUCGACAAGGUUUCCGGUGCUCUGUUGGAGUUGAAUCACCUGCAAAUGCAGCUCUUUCUUUCUAGUUGUAACAGG